This 1219-nucleotide ribosomal RNA is filed under the name metagenome. RNAcentral describes it as "bacterial SSU rRNA". It matches the Rfam family "Bacterial small subunit ribosomal RNA", at positions 8 to 1231 of the family's 1533-position model. The record is from RNAcentral.
AGAGUUUGAUCCUGGCUCAGGAUGAACGCUAGCGGCAGGCCUAAUACAUGCAAGUCGAGGGGCAGCACGGUAGCAAUACUGGUGGCGACCGGCGCACGGGUGCGUAACACGUAUACAAUCUGCCUUUAACAGGGGGAUAGCCCGGAGAAAUCCGGAUUAAUACCCCAUAACAGGAGUCUCGGCAUCGAGAUUUUUUGAAAGCUCCGGCGGUUAAAGAUGAGUAUGCGUCUGAUUAGCUAGUUGGUGAGGUAACGGCUCACCAAGGCGACGAUCAGUAGGGGAUCUGAGAGGAUUAACCCCCACACGGAUACUGAGACACGGAUCCGACUCCUACGGGAGGCAGCAGUAAGGAAUAUUGGACAAUGCCCGCAAGGGUGAUCCAGCCAUGCCGCGUGCAGGAAGACGGCCCUAUGGGUUGUAAACUGCUUUUACACCGGAGAAAACCCCCCUACGUGUAGGGGGCUGAUAGUAUGGUGAGAAUAAGCAUCGGCUAACUUCGUGCCAGCAGCCGCGGUAAGACGAAGGAUGCAAGCGUUAUCCGGAUUCAUUGGGUUUAAAGGGAGCGUAGGUGGACUUAUAAGUCAGCGGUGAAAUCUCUGGGCUUAACCCAGAAAUUGCCAUUGAUACUGUAGGUCUUGAGUACAGUUGCUGUGGGCGGAAUAUGACAUGUAGUGGUGAAAUACAUAGAGAUGUCAUAGAACACCGAUUGCGAAGGCAGCUCACAAAGCUGUAACUGACACUGAGGCUCGAAAGUGCGGGGAUCAAACAGGAUUAGAUACCCUGGUAGUCCGCACUGUAAACGAUGAUUACUCGCUGCUAGGGGGCAACCUUUAGUGGCUUAGCGAAAGCGAUAAGUAAUCCACCUGGGGAGUACGCCGGCAACGGUGAAACUCAAAGGAAUUGACGGGGGCCCGCACAAGCGGAGGAGCAUGUGGUUUAAUUCGAUGAUACGCGAGGAACCUUACCAGGGCUUGAAAGUUAGGGAAUGGAUCUGAAAGGAUUCGGUCAGCAAUGACCCGAAACUAGGUGCUGCAUGGCUGUCGUCAGCUCGUGCCGUGAGGUGUUGGGUUAAGUCCCGCAACGAGCGCAACCCCUACCAUUAGUUGCCAGCGGUUCGGCCGGGGACUCUAGUGGAACUGCCCGCGCAAGCGGAGAGGAAGGUGGGGAUGACGUCAAGUCAUCACGGCCCUUACGUCCUGGGCUACACACGUGCUACAAU